Small nuclear RNA from Nycticebus coucang (slow loris), 104 nucleotides. The record is from RefSeq and is a predicted model, not a curated record. NCBI's taxonomy places the organism in Eukaryota, Metazoa, Chordata, Mammalia, Primates, Lorisidae.
GUGCUAGCUUCAGCAGUACAUAUAAUAAAAUUGGAAUGAUACAGAGAUUAGCAUGGCCCCUGAGCAAGGAUGACGUGCAAAUUCGUGAAGCAUUCAAUAUUUUU